CAAAUCUGCAUUUACAAACAAGCAUAUAAAAUCUUGAAAAUAGUGUUUACAAGCAUUCCUGUUAUCAAUCAUGGAAUAAAAAUAUGAUAACCACCCCUGCUUUUUUAACCUAAUCAAAUCAUCUAACCUGCAGUAACUGUAAAUCUUGAAGGCCUGAACCUUAUGUAAAUAAUACCCAGUAUUGGGUGGCCAUGUAACAGAAAAUGAAGUAAAAUCUCAAUAUCUGGCCAGAUAUGAUAUCCAUUGCAUCCCUAGUUAUUUGUUAUGUUUCUUUGUCUUGAAAUGCCGAACAACUUUACUUGUUAAGGGGAGAGUGUUGGUAUGACUGUACAGUAUAUUCGUAUUCAACAUACUUAUUUAAUAUAUGCGCCAUUGGUACCCUUUUAUAGUUAACCCUCAGAUGUAUAAUGGCUUCCCUUCCACAUGCACUGGGAGACCGACAGACCUACCAAUACAAGACAGGCAAGCAAGGAGACCGGCAGACCCACCAAAACAAGACAGGCAAGCAUGUAAGUUUACUGAUAUUUUUCUUUGUGAUAUAAGUUAACACAUUGCGCCCUGCUUUAUUAUUUUACUCUGUCUAACGCCAGAUGAUUUACUCAUCAAGGGGAGAGCUCUGGUGCUUAAUGUGUUAACUAGCCUAUCUGCCCAUGUGUCUAGUUAAUCCAUUGAGUUGCAUUGCACUGAUGCGCCCUGCUUUAUUAUUUUACUCUGUCUACUGCCAGACAAUUUACUCGUCAAGGGGAGAGCUCUGGCAUUUAAUAGGUACAGUAACUUAACUGGCCUUUCAGCCCAUAUGUCUAAUAAUCUAGUUAAUCCAUUCAGUUGCAUUGUGCCAAUGUGCCCUGCUUUAUGUAUUAUUUUACUCUGUCUAACGAUUUAGUUGUAUAACAUGUGGGCAGUGACUGAGUGAAACAGUACAGGCUUGACUGCAGUCACUGACAAGAAGAAAAUUCAGAUCUUACAAUGUACUGUAUAUUAAUUUUACUGUAUUAUAAACCAUAUAAUUUCUUUUAUUAGUCCAUUCUGACAGCAAAUGCCUUAACUGAGGUGGAUAGGCCCAAGAAUUUUUCGAAAUUAACUAAGAAUGCAAGAAAAAGAUUCAAUGUGAACUGGAGAAGCAGGAGAACUGUUAAGAGAACACAAACAUACAGUCUGUAUUUGUUUUUAAUAUUUUAGUAACGAUAUUAUAUGCAUUUCUUAAUUUUAAUCUUUGGUCUUGUCCCUGCAUGGUGUUACUGGUAACCCACCCCUGAUUUUUUAUUUCUGCAUGCUUUUAGUUGAGUAAUGCAUAUACAGGAUGUAUCAAAAAAUGUCCCAAAUGGAUAAUUUCCUCGAAAUCACACAAAAUUUGGGAUAUUUUUUGUAACCGAGAGUAAAUAUAUGUAAAUUGUAAUUAAGUUUUUAUUAUUUUGUAAUUUGUAUAUUUCGAAUAAACUUGUGUCUGAUGUGGUACAUCAAACCUGC
Non-coding RNA from Paramuricea clavata, 1467 nucleotides. The record is from the annotation of a GenBank genome assembly. Lineage: Eukaryota; Metazoa; Cnidaria; Anthozoa; Malacalcyonacea; Plexauridae.